AGCGCUGCGUGUGAAUAAAACAUAGCCUACUAGAUAGCUCUCCGGUGACCGGUCUAAACGUCCUACGGGAAUACUUGGUUGGCAUGAACUUUAUCAGCGGUCGCAUGAUUGAACAGGUUUCCCACCCAAGCGCAGAACCAGGUUGUUACAGUGGAAGCGGGUCGUCUCCUUAACCUCUACACUUUAUCUUGAUCAGAUUUCUCUCUGGCUGGGGGUGGGGUGCUGACGGGGGGUGGCGGUAUGCCGUGGUGCUAUUGAAAUUCCAGAGCCGAUUUCACAUGUUUUACAUUGCCCUCAUUCCGAUCCCUCCUCUGUGACUCAUUUUUGGGCCUACACUGGGGUGUAGAACAUGAAGCAGGUGAUAGUCGAACUCUUCCCGGCUGACCAGCUCUCUACUGGAAAAACAGGAAUGAGGAGUGAGGGAGGGAUGGCUGGCGGUUGGUCCCGACCGAGUCGGUUCCCAUGUCUUGUUUAGAAUUUAAUGGGCCGAGACAGUGGGAAUCUGACAAGUUUUGCUUAAUUUAUGAGAAGAUGGGCCUGUUUUUGUAGUUUCUCCCCAGGUCACAUACCAAGGAUUGUGUGUGUGUGAGAGAGUGUGUGUGUUUGUGCAUGCAUAGAAUGGUUUCACGUUUCCAUUGCCUAGCAAUGGUGUCACUGUUUUUAAAUUGGCUUGGCGUCGUGUGUUGUGUUAUCUGCCCUACCUAUCCUGAUGUUUGUGUUCGAAUAGAUGCUAUCUUGAAAGAAAUUGCAUGGUGACUUGCCUCUGAUAUGGAAUUUAGUUGGUCAGGACUCACUCACGUAUGUGUCUACUGCCUACUCACGUCUAUGAUUUGAACCUUCCCAUCUACGUCAUAUGUUUUCAUGCACAACUUGGUGAA
Long non-coding RNA from Sinocyclocheilus anshuiensis, 878 nucleotides. RefSeq lists it as uncharacterized. The transcript has 3 exons. The record is from RefSeq and is a predicted model, not a curated record. Lineage: Eukaryota; Metazoa; Chordata; Actinopteri; Cypriniformes; Cyprinidae.